GGAACCGUGCCCGAAUGUUUAGGGGCCACUUUGAUAGAGUGGUAUAUAGGGGUUAGAGCCCCCUCAGUUCUU
Molecule: transfer RNA, 72 nt
Filed under: Raiamas senegalensis (Senegal minnow)
Lineage: Eukaryota; Metazoa; Chordata; Actinopteri; Cypriniformes; Danionidae
Description: tRNA-Ile
Rfam family: tRNA
About the family: Transfer RNA (tRNA) molecules are approximately 80 nucleotides in length. Their secondary structure includes four short double-helical elements and three loops (D, anti-codon, and T loops).
Source: RNAcentral